GAUGAACGCUGGCGGCGUGCCUAAUACAUGCAAGUCGAGCGAACAGACGAGGAGCUUGCUCCUUCGACGUUAGCGGCGGACGGGUGAGUAACACGUAGGUAACCUACCUAUAAGACUGGGAUAACUUCGGGAAACCGGAGCUAAUACCGGCUCAUAUUUCGAACCGCAUGGUUCGAUAGUGAAAGAUGGCUUUGCUAUCACUUAUAGAUGGACCUGCGCCGUAUUAGCUAGUUGGUAAGGUAACGGCUUACCAAGGCAACGAUACGUAGCCGACCUGAGAGGGUGAUCGGCCACACUGGAACUGAGACACGGUCCAGACUCCUACGGGAGGCAGCAGUAGGGAAUCUUCCGCAAUGGGCGAAAGCCUGACGGAGCAACGCCGCGUGAGUGAUGAAGGUCUUCGGAUCGUAAAACUCUGUUAUUAGGGAAGAACAAACGUGGAAGUAACUGUGCACGUCUUGACGGUACCUAAUCAGAAAGCCACGGCUAACUACGUG
RNAcentral lists this ribosomal RNA (497 nucleotides) under uncultured bacterium. RNAcentral's name for it is "partial 16S ribosomal RNA". It matches the Rfam family "Bacterial small subunit ribosomal RNA", at positions 28 to 507 of the family's 1533-position model. The record is from RNAcentral.